GGCUCAAAUUGUCCGUAACCGGGGACACGUCUAAUCGAUUAGGUUUUAAACUCUGCAGAGUGUUGUGUACUUUACUCGCAAGAUUCGUUCCCUCCUUGUAAGUCCUCGCACUGCCAGUUGUUUGAGAACAGGACGAAUGAAACAUGGUCUUCCAAAGAGUUUCUCUGACCUCUGUCCGUGCCCAUCCAUCCUAACGUAGUUCUACAUCUUGUAGCACCGUCCUGACCAGAGUCGCAACUAAGGUUAACAAAGCUAGAGCCCAUAAUGACUUGUGGUUAC
RNAcentral lists this long non-coding RNA (279 nucleotides) under Hordeum vulgare. RNAcentral describes it as "long non-coding RNA (HVUL_LNC018098)". Lineage: Eukaryota; Viridiplantae; Streptophyta; Magnoliopsida; Poales; Poaceae. The record is from RNAcentral.